This 232-nucleotide ribosomal RNA is filed under the name uncultured bacterium. RNAcentral describes it as "partial 16S ribosomal RNA". It matches the Rfam family "Bacterial small subunit ribosomal RNA", at positions 258 to 504 of the family's 1533-position model. The record is from RNAcentral.
UAACGGCUUACCAAGCCGACGAUCAGUAGCCGGCCUGAGAGGGUGGACGGCCACAUUGGGACUGAGACACGGCCCAGACUCCUACGGGAGGCAGCAGUGGGGAAUAUUGCACAAUGGGGGAAACCCUGAUGCAGCAACGCCGCGUGAAGGAAGAAGUAUUUCGGUAUGUAAACUUCUAUCAGCAGGGAAGAAUAAAAUGACGGUACCUGACUAAGAAGAACCGGCUAAAUAC